UUAUACAAGCCUCAUCUAUCAUGUUCAACCUCAUCAUGGAAGAAAAUCAAGUCAAACAGAAAAUUUCCAGAAAUAGAAAGUGGACCUGUAAUUUCAACUGCCAAAAAUGGAAACUUCUUGAUCUUUAACUUACAUCAUGAUACAAGCUCCAAAUGAAUUUUUUCCCAACAUGAAAGUUGAAGAUCUUGUUCUCCCAUUUUCAAAAAGUCCAAGAACUCUCAAAUCCCAUGUGUGGUUGUCAAGAUAUGAUCAAUUCAAUUUCAAAAAUUUGUGAACUUCAAAGAGCCAUAACUCAUGA
RNAcentral lists this long non-coding RNA (298 nucleotides) under Lathyrus oleraceus (garden pea). RNAcentral describes it as "Pisum sativum (pea) long non-coding RNA (PSAT_LNC006385)". Lineage: Eukaryota; Viridiplantae; Streptophyta; Magnoliopsida; Fabales; Fabaceae. The record is from RNAcentral.